RNAcentral lists this small nucleolar RNA (106 nucleotides) under Nelumbo nucifera (sacred lotus). The record is from RNAcentral. Lineage: Eukaryota; Viridiplantae; Streptophyta; Magnoliopsida; Proteales; Nelumbonaceae.
CUUGAGGAUGCAUUCCUGCUGUAAAUAUGGACAAACAGCAAUUUAUAAGCUUUUAGGUGGGCAUGCUGUGAAUACUAGGAUGCCCGUAAAGAAUUUUCAUACAUGG